UCCUCUGCCCUCAAUUCAACUUUAUCAGGAAGCUGCAACCCACAAUUCAAAUUUUAAAUUCAAAUCAAUCUCUCUCUCUCUCCCUCCCUCUUCUUUCACGUUCAUUUAACAUUCUUUCUCCUCCGUCCGUUUCUCUGCUUCAUCUCCGACCAGAUUCUAUUCCAUCACAAUCUUCAGUUGUGGUUAGAUGAUUUUUUGAAGUUUCUGGUCGAUGUGCAUCUACAUUAUUGUCAGAGGUAAAAGCUUAAUUUUCUUGGUAAUGAUACACAAAACAUAGAGCUUUGUUAAGCUUUCACGUGCAGUUCAUGGAGAAAAGGAAUUCAUUUGUGUGUUAUUUGGUGUUAAUGGUUCACAAACCGAGCGACGACAAAGAUCGAUGAAGCAGAGCACACAACUGCAGUGAAGAUAUUGCCGCUCAUGAAUUUGAGGAAAAGGUUCUACUAACCGAAAUUAAUUCAAGAUUUUUCAUUUUACUUGAGAAGAGACUUUUGGUUGUGGAAAAAUGAUUUGCUACACCGCUGCUACAAAUAUCAACUACAACUGCAGAAGUGAGAGAUGAUGACGGAGUUUGAAUGGUCACAUUUAGAGAUUAGAGAACAUGGAUGCUGUGAUGGAGCUCCUGCCUUAGAAAGAUAGACUUAAGAGUCUAUGGACGGUUCACAUACUAAUCAAAGCUUUAGGAAAUAUGUCCAGUUAAACAUAGGAAAGAGGUAGGAUGAAGGGAGGUUAGAAAGGGAGAUAGCAUCAACACAAAUUGCUAAAGAACAAUGAGAUCAUUUUGAGGACUAUAUUUAGUUUUAUAGUGUGUAUUAUUUCUUUGAAUUUCCUUUCCAUUACUUAAUUUCAUUUUAUUAUUACUACUACUUAAUUUCAUUUCAUUUUAUCAUUUUAAGGGGAAAAUUACAAUGACCUCGCCUAAAUUCUAUUGUAAUAGACACAAACCUCCUCUAAAGUCUAUUGAAUAGACAAACACCUCCCCUCUAAACUUACACCGUUUAUUAAUCUGUUAAUUUUAUUAUGAUGAUAAUCUAUCUCCACUGAAACCUUGAAUAUCGUACCAUUGUUCGAACCUUCUCAAAUCAUUUUUCCUAUUUUAACUCUACUAUUAUUAGUUUUCAAUUGAAGAAUAAUCAUCCUAUUUUAUGUUUAUGCGUAUUUUAAGUUUUUCAUAUAAUGUAUUGUUUUGAUGAAUU
This is a long non-coding RNA of Trifolium pratense (red clover), 1193 nucleotides long. RefSeq lists it as uncharacterized. Lineage: Eukaryota; Viridiplantae; Streptophyta; Magnoliopsida; Fabales; Fabaceae. The record is from RefSeq and is a predicted model, not a curated record. The transcript is spliced from 8 exons.